UCUGUACCUCCCAGUGCCCAGUGUACCUCUCCUUCAGAGCUGUGUGUAAGGUGUUUAGUGACACAUGUGAGAUACUCAGCUAGUCUGUACUCUCUCUCUGUAGUGACCUGUAACACUCCCUCUUGUUCUGUUACCCAGUCUGUACCUCCCAGUGCCCAGUGUACCUCUCCUUCAGAGCUGUGUGUAAGGUGUUUAGUGACACAUGUGAGAUACUCAGCUAGUCUGUACUCUCUGUAGUGACCUGUAACACUCCCUCUUGUUCUGUUACCCAGUCUGUACCUCCCAGUGCCCAGUGUACCUCUCCUUCAGAGCUGUGUGUAAGGUGUUUAGUGACACAUGUGAGAUACUCAGCUAGUCUGUACUCUCUCUAGUGACCUGUAACACUCCCUCUUGUUCUGUUACCCAGUCUGUACCUCCCAGUGCCCAGUGUACCUCUCCUUCAGAGCUGUGUGUAAGGUGUUUAGUGACACAUGUGAGAUACUCAGCUAGUCUGUACUCUCUCUGUAGUGACCUGUAACACUCCCUCUUGUUCUGUUACCCAGUCUGUACCUCCCAGUGCCCAGUGUACCUCUCCUUCAGAGCUGUGUAAGGUGUUUAGUGACACAUGUGAGAUACUCAGCUAGUCUGUACUCUCUCUGUAGUGACCUGUAACACUCCCUCUUGUUCUGUUACCCAGUCUGUACCUCCCAGUGCCCAGUGUACCUCUCCUUCAGAGCUGUGUGUAAGGUGUUUAGUGACACAUGUGAGAUACUCAGCUAGUCUGUACUCUCUCUGUAGUGACCUGUAACACUCCCCUCUUGUUCU
Molecule: long non-coding RNA, 804 nt
Organism: Bombina bombina (fire-bellied toad)
Lineage: Eukaryota; Metazoa; Chordata; Amphibia; Anura; Bombinatoridae
Exons: 3
Source: RefSeq, a predicted model, not a curated record